Molecule: ribosomal RNA, 253 nt
Filed under: uncultured bacterium
Lineage: Bacteria
Description: partial 16S ribosomal RNA
Rfam family: Bacterial small subunit ribosomal RNA
Source: RNAcentral
UACAGAGGGGGCAAGCGUUGUUCGGAAUUACUGGGCGUAAAGGGUGCGUAGGCGGGUCUUUAAGUCAGGGGUGAAAUCCUGGAGCUCAACUCCAGAACUGCCUUUGAUACUGAGGAUCUUGAGUACGGGAGAGGUGAGUGGAACUGCGAGUGUAGAGGUGAAAUUCGUAGAUAUUCGCAAGAACACCAGUGGCGAAGGCGGCUCACUGGCCCGUAACUGACGCUGAGGCGCGAAAGCGUGGGGAGCAAACAGG